RNAcentral lists this transfer RNA (89 nucleotides) under Bacillota bacterium. RNAcentral's name for it is "tRNA-Leu". It matches the Rfam family "tRNA". From Rfam's summary of the family: Transfer RNA (tRNA) molecules are approximately 80 nucleotides in length. RNAcentral also lists the same sequence under 2 other names. Lineage: Bacteria; Bacillati; Bacillota. The record is from RNAcentral.
GCCGGAGUGGCGGAACCGGCAGACGCGCCGGACUUAAAAUCCGGCGGAGGGCGGCCUCCGUGUGGGUUCGAGUCCCACCUCCGGCACCA